This 27-nucleotide transfer RNA is filed under the name Podarcis tiliguerta. Its description in RNAcentral is "partial tRNA-Thr". The record is from RNAcentral. RNAcentral also lists the same sequence under 1 other name. Lineage: Eukaryota; Metazoa; Chordata; Lepidosauria; Squamata; Lacertidae.
GUCCUAGUAGCUUAAAUUAAAGCACUG